GGGAUUGCAAUGGGCGCAAGCCUGAUGCAGCCAUGCCGCGUGUAUGAAGAAGGCCUUCGGGUUGUAAAGUACUUUCAGCGGGGAGGAAGGGAGUAAAGUUAAUACCUUUGCUCAUUGACGUUACCCGCAGAAGAAGCACCGGCUAACUCCGUGCCAGCAGCCGCGGUAAUU
RNAcentral lists this ribosomal RNA (171 nucleotides) under uncultured bacterium. RNAcentral's name for it is "partial 16S ribosomal RNA". It matches the Rfam family "Bacterial small subunit ribosomal RNA", at positions 357 to 525 of the family's 1533-position model. The record is from RNAcentral.